CAUACGGGUACAAGCUGUUGGGGGGAAAGGCCUGUAUGAAAGUCAAAGGUAUUACUCUGAACGUAGCAAACUGUGAAAAGAUCAACUUUGACAGUUUGAAAGAUCUAGUCCUGGACCAUAGCACAUGCCUGUGAAAA
Non-coding RNA from Chelonoidis abingdonii (Abingdon island giant tortoise), 137 nucleotides. Lineage: Eukaryota; Metazoa; Chordata; Testudines; Testudinidae. The record is from RefSeq and is a predicted model, not a curated record.